AGUGAACGCUGGCGGCAGGCCUAACACAUGCAAGUCGAACGGCAGCACAGUAAGUGCUUGCUCUUACGGCUGGCGAGUGGCGGGCGGGUGAGGAAUACAUCGGAAUCUACUUUUUCGUGGGGGAUAACGUAGGGAAACUUACGCUAAUACCGCAUACGACCUACGGGUGAAAGCAGGGGAUCUUCGGCCCUUGCGCGAUUGAAUGAGCCGAUGUCGGAUUAGUUAGUUGGCGGGGUAAAGGCCCACCAAGGCGACGAUCCGUAGCUGGCCUGAGCGGAUGAUCAGCCACACUGGAACUGAGACACGGUCCAGACUCCUACGGGAGGCAGCAGUGGGGAAUAUUGGACAAUGGGCGCAAGCCUGAUCCAGCCAUACCGCGUGGGUGAAGAAGGCCUUCGGGUUGUAAAGCCCUUUUAUUGGGGAAGAAAAGCAGUAGGUUAAUACCCCGCUGUUCUGACGGUACCCAAAGAAUAAGCACCGGCUAACUUCGUG
Molecule: ribosomal RNA, 492 nt
Filed under: uncultured bacterium
Lineage: Bacteria
Description: partial 16S ribosomal RNA
Rfam family: Bacterial small subunit ribosomal RNA
Source: RNAcentral